Molecule: long non-coding RNA, 1807 nt
Filed under: Struthio camelus australis
Lineage: Eukaryota; Metazoa; Chordata; Aves; Struthioniformes; Struthionidae
Description: lncRNA (ENSSCUG00000009373.1)
Source: RNAcentral
AAUUCACAGUGACAACAGUGGAAGACUUUAUUCACAUAUACAGAGUAGAAGAUGGUAUGAGGGAAAUUCUGCAAAUCAGAAAUUCUUUUACCAACAAUUAAAAAUGAAAGAAGUCUGAAAUCCUUUGCAUCUCUGGUAAAAGUCUCAUGGAAGAAGGUUAAAAAGCAUGGAGAUCUCACUGUGGACACACACCAAUAAACAAAGAAAACAGCUUCUCCCGCUACUCUCUCCCCCUGCUCCCCAUCUGAAAAAAAAAAAAUCUAGAUGACCUCUGCUUCCCCCCUGGAAUGGGAAACACCCUGCUGGUAUCAGUUGGUGUGGAAGGAAGAACGACCAACUGGGACACAGCCUCAUUUCCAUGUGCUUGUAGGGCAAGAUCUAGACACAAACAAGAAAUAUAGAGGGAUUUUUUUUUAAAUUCUUCUAAUAUCUCCACGAGAUGUUUUGGUUUGCCUUUUUCCUUUAGAUUUACAGCUGCUUAUAGGAAUACUAACAUCUUACAAAAGGCAUUAGCGUACAUAACAGACUCUGUCCAUCUCACAAGAAGAUAAAAUAAAGAACUGGCCUCUAUCAGAUGGGAACAAAAAAGACAUAUGAUGCUUAAUAAAGAUAAAACUCUUACUUUAUAAUGAAACACAUAUCUGUGCUUCAUGUGCAAGUUGAUCAUGCAAACUGACCAACAUAAUCGGCAAUCACGUGUUACAGUAUGGGAUGGUUUCAUUUUAUUAGACAUCUGGAAAAAAAAAAUCAAGCAUGGAGUGCCACAGAAAGGCCCUGCACUGAUAUUUCAUCUCUGAAGUCUUGGAGUCAAAUGUUAGGAGAGCCGUUUGGCGGACCUCAAGCGCGCAAUGGCAUGAAGACACAGUGGAUGAGCGGGCAGCGCGACGCAAGCGUAAAGCCAGGAGUGCGCCAACAUGACCGUGUCGACACAGCAGAGAGCAUGGGUAGUACAUGCUUUAUUUCCUCAUGCUUAGAAUAGGAGGUAAACAUGGCAUCAAAUGAGCUGCAGGCUGCUAACUAGGGGAAAGGUGAGUUUGUGUAGCCAUUCUAUAAAUAACCGUAUUUUAAAAGGCAAGAUUAUGCCAAGGCGGAUAUUGUGAAGAAACAGAAUAGAAAAUGGCAUUUUUUUAACAGAUAACACAUAUUUGCUACAAAAUGGGACUGUAACGUGUUCCCUAGCGUGACUACCUGGGGUGUAUGUGAUUUUUUGGUACUUAGGUCAGUGAAUCUGUCCUUUAAAGGAAGCUCUGUAAGUGAUCUAGUCUGUGCUUGUGCUGGAGAAACAACCCACUCCAAAAGAAAAAGAUCAAUGGUCAGGAUACACCUUUGUUAAAAUAUUUAACAUUUGUUAAAAUGUUCAACAUCUUGGUUUAGAUCCAAGAUAGAUAAGGUGAAAAAACCACUCUUCUUUUGGUGUCUUCACUGUCGUAAGACAUACAUUUUGGACUCUCUUUCAUGUAGAAAGUGGCCCUUUCAAAUCAGUUGACGUUAGGUUAGCCUGCCACAGAGCAGGAUGAAGCCUUAUUUAUUCAAAACAUCCACUGUCAGUGAGGACAACUGGUUCACAGAGCUGAGACAUAUGACCUUCUACAAUUUCCUCUGACAUUCAUGGUGUAGAAGGUUUCCUGGGGUAAACAAUGGUUUAUAAAUGUAGUUGUUUAAAUAAGUUCUUCUCCUACAAGUAAUCCAGGUAGUCUUUUGCCAGUUAUUUCUGUCUGGAAUGAUAGCAGGUGUCUUCUCUUUGUUCAGAGUUAAUCUUUUGAAAAUAUUCCUUAAUAAUACCUGUUUCAGGACGUUGCACUUCACU